CAGUAGCCGCGGUGAGACAGAGGUCCCGAGCGUUGUUCGGAUUCAUUGGGCGUAAAGGGUGUGUAGGAGGUCAGGUAAGUCGUGUGUGAAAUCUCAGAGCUUAACUCUGAAACUGCGCUCGAUACUGCUUGGCUAGAGGAUCGGAGGGGGUAACGGAAUUCAUGGUGUAGCAGUGAAAUGCGUAGAUAUCAUGAGGAACACCGGUGGCGAAGGCGGUUACCUGGAAGAUUCCUGACUCUGAAACACGAAAGCCAGGGGAGCAAACGGGAUUAGAUACCCCGGUAGUCCCUGUCUCUUAUAC
This 301-nucleotide ribosomal RNA is filed under the name uncultured bacterium. Its description in RNAcentral is "partial 16S ribosomal RNA". It matches the Rfam family "Bacterial small subunit ribosomal RNA", at positions 509 to 807 of the family's 1533-position model. The record is from RNAcentral.